Molecule: transfer RNA, 85 nt
Filed under: Clostridiaceae bacterium
Lineage: Bacteria; Bacillati; Bacillota; Clostridia; Eubacteriales; Clostridiaceae
Also listed under: 1 other name
Description: tRNA-Leu
Rfam family: tRNA
About the family: Transfer RNA (tRNA) molecules are approximately 80 nucleotides in length.
Source: RNAcentral
GCGGAUGUGGUGGAAUUGGCAGACACGCCAGAUUUAGGUUCUGGUGGGUAACUCCGUGCAGGUUCAAGUCCUGUCAUCCGCACCA